RNAcentral lists this long non-coding RNA (20814 nucleotides) under Vitis vinifera (wine grape). Its description in RNAcentral is "long non-coding RNA (VVIN_LNC004389)". The record is from RNAcentral. Lineage: Eukaryota; Viridiplantae; Streptophyta; Magnoliopsida; Vitales; Vitaceae.
AAGAUGUGACAUUAGGCAAUCUUACCUUGCAAGAUUGUGGUUAGAUUGUAGAAUAAGCUAGCUAAUUAACUAGUUAUCAGAGACUUUUUUCCCUAUAAAUUGAACUUUUUAAGUUAACUUAAGCCCCAUCUAAAGUUAUUAUAGCUACUAAUUAGCAAUCACAUCUCCCUUUCUAAUGGGAUUCUUAUCAACCAUUUUCAGGUAUUUGAUGUCUUGUUUUUCAAGCAAUGAAGCAAGAAAAUCUCCAGAGAAGCCUAAGAGCAAAUCAAAGUCAUCUAGAGCUCCCAUUGUGGUCUCUUCCUUCCCGGUCAACUCAAAUCUUUCUUGCUUAUAGCAUGCUGAAAUUUGAAAUGUAGUUGGUUCAAUCAUGGUAUGGACUGAUCUAUAAUUAACGGCAAUGAAGCCAUGGUAUUGAUAGUUGCCUUUGCAAAUGAGCUUAAUGUUCUUAUAUAUCUUGGUGAGUAUAAUUCAAUAAUUUCAUCCGUCUUUUGAAUAAGAUUUAUGGUAUUUUACCCUACUGCAUGCCUUUGCUUUGGUUACCUCCUUGUGUGAACUGCCCAAUGGUCAUAAAGAUCAAUGAGUUUAAGCCUUGUUACGUUUACCCAUGCACCAAUUUGUAAUGUCAUUCACUUUGAAUUAAUUUCUUGGUGUAGACGUAUCAAACAAAAACUCUUUAUAUGAUACAAAAUUAUAGCUCUUAUCAUUUUUAAGACACGAUGAUGGAGGAUGACAUUAUUCACUGCUUGAAGACCAAGCAAAACUUGGGGAAUACUCCUAGAAUUAUCAGGCGCCACACAAGUCAAAAAGUCAUGAAGGAAUAUUGAAAAUGGCUUCCUCAGUCUAAAGUCAAAAGCAGCCACUAGUGUAGGAAACAGGAAGGAAUUUACCAUCUAAUCAAUAUCACAAGCUGGGAAGAUGGGCACAUACCAUCUGGCUUUCCUUGCUAUGCAAGAAAAUUAGCCCAACUUCCAUUUCAAAUUAAACUUCCACUAUAAAUAUGUAGAAUCGUUUUCAUUCAAAGCUCAUUAAUACAAACUCACACUUCAGCUCUUGGCCUCUCAAACCACUUUGUUUAAUUUCUGAAAGCAGAAGAAGGAGAAGGGUGAUUGAUCAACAAUGGUGUUCUCAGCCAUCAUAAGCUGUUUUCUACCAUCAUCAUCGUCAUCUCGGGUGUCUGAUGAUGCUGGUGGGUCAGGCUCAAAGGUGCCUUCUAUGGGGAAAGACAAGAUGAGCAAAUCAAAAUCUUCAGGAGCUCCAAUAGUUCUUUCUUACUUUCCAUUGAACUCCUAUCUCUCUCGCUUGUAGUAGUACUAGUAAUAGAAUUCUGAGGAAAGGGGAGUUGAAUUUGCAGAAGGUAUCAAUGGUUAAUUUCUUCAGCUCAAUGAUGUUAUGUGGAUCAGUUAAUUAAUGGGGCUUCUUGAUCAGUCAGUUCAGAGACCACACACCAUGGGGCAGUUGCUUAUGGGGUGGUGAUGGUGAAGGAGGAACACCACUCAUGUACAUAUAGUUUGAUGAUUGAUUUGUAGUUUGAUUGAAGCAUAUCAUGUAAGAUCAUGGGUCCUUUGAUUUUAAUUAGUAAAAUCCUGAUGAAUAUAAUUCAAGUGUAAUCCAAUUGUUUGAUUUGUGACUUGGUAAGAUUUCUUGUUUCAUGUUAAUCCUUAUCCAAAUUCUUGUGCAUAACAUAAUAUUUUCAAUUAUAUCUUCGAAUUCAAUAAAAAUGACGAAGAACAAAAGGAAAAUCCCUCAAAUUUGUAAUAAAAUACUACUUUAUUUUCAAAAUAAAUUCUCAAAACUAUUUUUAGUCCAAAAUUUAUUCUACCUAUGUUUUAAUUUGAAAAAUUAUUUUUUAUUUAUUUUUUAAAAUAGAAAACCAUUUUAAAAAAUAAUUCUAACUUACUAUAAAGAGCUGAACUUCAUCCCAUUUUUUUAAUAACUUAUUUUCAAUUAGUUAGAUGGAGAAGCAAUUUAAACACCAAAAAUAUGAGGUGAGCGGAGGGUAAUCUAGGUGCCUAUUGAUUGAUCUAAUGAAGAAUAUAUGGAGGGGCAGAUUAAAAAACUAAUAAUCUUGCUUUGAUGAAUAUUAUUCAAAUUUGAUCCAAUAUCAUAAUCCCUUUUUUCGUAUGAUCUUAAAUAUCUUAUAUUCAUCAUAAAAAAAAUGUUCUUAAGUUAAUACAAAAUGAUAUGUAAUGUCACUUAAGAUACUUAAAAAAUUCAUUAUUAUGAAAAUCAAAGCCAACUUUUACAAGAAUCUUAUCCUUUUCUUACACAAGAUACCUUCAAUAUUUUCACUUUUAUCCUAGCAUUCCAAACACUUCUAGAGAAUUUGCAUUCCAAAAUCAAAGCCAACAUUAGGGAAUUUGUCACCUAGAAAAUUAAGGUCUUUUUUAAUUCUCAGAUUUAAGAAGCAUGGUGCAUGUUUUUUUAUUUUAAUUAAAAUUGUUUCCAAUAAUUUUAUAUAGAUAUAAUCAGUCUUUGUGCUUGCUGGUCAUUGCAACCUCACAGCACAUGCCCACAUACUAAUAAAUAUCAGAAACUUCUUCCUAGAAAUGCGGGACAUGGCAAAUAAUUGAUAAAAAAAUGAGAAGUCUUCAAUUCUUGGUGACCAAGAAAAACUUAGGUUAAUGUUCUUAAGAAUUAUUGGGUGGUAAUACAAGAAAGUCCAAAGUUUUCAGGAAUUGAUAAUGACUUCCUCUGAAUAGGGUCAAAGCAACCACAAGAGUAGGAAGCAAAAGGGAACCAUCUGAUCAACAGUACUAUAAGUCGAGAACAUAGGCACACAUAUCAUUUGGUUUUUCUUUCUAUACAAGAAAAUCAUCCCAAUCCCAUUAUAAAUACAGAAUUAUCUUCACUCAAAUCUCAUCAUCAACCUUCUAUUUCAUAUUUUUUUGGACAUAGGAAGAGCAAAAACAAAAGAAAAAAAAACACGUAAAUCAUAAUGGUAUUAUUUGUUAAUCUCAUCAUACACAUACAAACAUAAAUAAAGAAAAAUGAAAUUUUAACAUAGUUGGUAAUUGAUACUAUUCCUAUGCCCACGAAAUAUAAUAACACUUAAGAAUCGACUUCAUCACACACGUAUGAGUAUAAAUAAAAAAAAAACAAAAUUUUAACAUAUUUGAUAAUUAAUAUAAUUCUUACGUUCACGGAGUGUUCCAAUACUUUACGUUUAAAAUAUUAGGCAUAAAAAAGAGAGGUACCAUAUGUAGGGACCCCUCCCUCUGAGAAACACGUGGCACACAUCUCAUAGUGACACGUGGCGCAUUAUCAGCCGGAUCGCCAUUACCCGGAUUUCUCUAAGAAUACGCAUGACGCGCUUCUCCUAUCCGGACUGCCUCAAGGAAGAGCAAACGACGCUUAUAAAGCAUAGACAUCCGGACGGCUUCCAUAAUGCAUCCGCUCCACAAUACAUCCGGAUAACCAACAUGGGCUAUCCGGAUAUGACUGUCCGGAUCAUUGACUAAAGUAAAGCAAGUCUUACACGCUAUCACAACAACCAGCCAUGACCCACGUCCCAUCACCUGCAGAGUGAGAGGACAAGAUGAAGUGACAACAAGUCACUUCCCACGAUCAUUCUACAUGAUCACUUCCUAUGAUCUCUGACAGCCGCAUCACCUACCACGGUUUCUGACAGCCGCCCGUAGGGUGAUAAUGACCCUGCUACCACCUAAUGUCAUCAUGACAACAUAAAAUAUCUUCCCACCAUUAAUGAGAGGAACAAUACUCCUGGAACUAUAUAUAAGCCUUCACACGAAGAGGAAGGUAAUCUCCUGAUACCUAGUAAAAGGCCAAUUGAUUUAUAUCUCUCUUUCUAACCAUGACUAACAAAACCAUCGGAGGGUGCGUCCGGACACCCUGUCCGGAUGCCUUUUUGCAGGUAUAACGACUGGAUCAAGAACUUUUGUAGGUUGAGAAUGCGUGUCCAUCCAUUUGGCAACUGCGUGGAUCGUCAGGGACGCGAGGUAUCAACACCAUAGUGGGGUUAUCCUAUUGUAUUUGCAUGCACCUCAAGACCUAAUACCUUGUGGCAUGACUUAGGUUAGCUAGUAUAUUAUUUGGGAUAUCCAUGGUACAACCUAAUUACUUUGAUUUGUAAGAAUCUACAUAUAAUCUCAAUUGAUUUCAAACAAUUAAUUUGAUUUAGAAAAUUGAUGAGUUUAAUUAUGGAUAUUGUGUCAUACGACAUACCUUUGACAAAUUAUGGAUAAAUUACACUAGUAAGUAUAAGACCAUGAUUAAAAUUUCUAUUCAGACAUUUAUAAAAAUUAUGGUUGAUAUUUAAACAUUUUUUAUUUUUUAUUAAAAAACUAUCCUAAAUGAGAUUUAAAGAAGGUAACAUCACUGAUUUGAUUGCCUCCGAUAUUACAUUGUUACCUUACUUUUGUACUCAUCCAAGUCAAUUGCCCGACCAAAAUAAUGAUUUACUAUUCUUAAUGACCACACGACAUUUAUAAGUAGAUAAUGUGUCGCACCUUCUUUGAAGAUGGGUAGGCUAAGGAAUAUUCUUAAACCAUAAGUAAUUUAAGUAUUAGAAUAUUCAUUUAUAGAAACUCGGUCACACCAGUUAGGCAACAAAUUAUACAUUCUCAUUUGACUAUAAAUGAAAGUUAUAAUACCGUCUAAACAUAUAAACAUAGUAAAGAUAUAGUUAUAGUGUUUUAAGUUUUUUAGUGGAUAAUAAAGUAAGUUUUUUAGUGGAUAACAAAGUAGGAUUAAAAAUAAUUAUUUUUCCCAUUCAAUUGAUUUAUGUUUGACAACUUUUUCUAAAUAUUUUUUUUAUUAAAAAUAAGUAUAAUUUUGGUAUUUUUAAAAAUUUAAUUUAAGAAAGAUUUACUUUUGACAUCAUAUUAUUUCCAAAUAUAAAUUCGAUCGGAAAUUGUGGUUUGUCAACUUUAUCCACUAUGAUUAAAAAUUACAUCUAAUUUUUGUAUAUUUUUCAAAUUGAGACUUUUAGUUCAUAUGAUAGUGAUUUUAGGGAAUACUUAUAAUUUUUUUAAUACUUAAAAUUUUUUAUCUUUUAAGUAUGAAAAAAUUAAAAACACUUUUUAUAAUUAUUGUAAAACACACUCAUAUCCAAUAUGUUUUUUUUUUUUUUUUUUCACAUAUUUGAUCUACACUUCGUAUAAUUACGGUCAAAGACACUCAUAUCUAUUCAUAUUCUAUGUAUAUUUUUCGAAAUACUAAAAAUGCUUUUUAUAAUGGGAGAAUUACCCUUAAGGGUAGGCUGGGGAAAAAAAUUAUCGAGAAGGGUGGGUAGAUUUGAUAAUUCUUUUGAAGGCCUAACAUUUUUAUUAGACCAAUUUAUCCUCAAUUAAAUUCUAAAAUUAUAAUUUUUAAAGAAUAAAAGAAUUGAAAAAAAAGAGAGAAGACUGUCGUUCCAAUGCCUUCCAUUUGAAACCUUUCCUUUCGCAUGCUUCUCGUCAAAGCUUCCCUUUCGCAUGAUCUGGAUGUUUUCACGGUGGUAUGAUAUUAUGAAAGAUACCGAAUCUUGUGUAGGCGUGUACAGUUCCAUUGUUCCAGUGGUGACUUCGUUGAUGACUUCCAUUCUGCAUCAUUGUUGGCAUGUCUCCAUUUUGAAUAUUGUGGCUUCGACGACGUUUUGAACCACAUUUUUUUUCAUCAUAUCUGAAAAAUGUGAUUUUUAUUUAUUUAUUUAAAUAUGAGAAAUCUUAGAUUUUAGUUUCUAGGGUUCUUCAACCGCAUUUUUUUUUCAUCGUAUCUGAAAGAAGUGAUUAUUUAUUUAUUUAUUUAAAUAUGAGAAAUCUUAGAUUUUAGUUUCUAGGGUUUUUCAAUCGCAUUUUUUUUCAUCGUAUCUGAAAGGGUGAUUUAUUUAUUUAUUUAAAUAUAAGAAAUCUUAGAUUUUAGUUUCUAGGGUUCUUCAACCGUAUUUUUUUUCAUCGUAUCUGAAAGAGGUGAUUUUUUUAUUUAUUUAAAUAUGAGAAAUCUUAGAUUUUAGUUUCCAGGGUUCUUCAAUUGCAUUUUUUUUCAUCGUAUCUGAAAGAGGUGAUUUAUUUAUUUAUUUAAAUAUGAGAAAUCUUAGAUUUUAGUUUCUAGGUUUCUUCAACCGCAUUUUUUUUUCAUCGUAUUUGAAAGAGGAGGUGAUUUUUUUAUUUAUUUAAAUAUGAGAAAUCUUAGAUUUUAGUUUCUAGGGUUCUUCAACUGUAUUUUUUUUCAUCAUAUCUGAAAGAGGUGAUUUUUUUUAUUUCAUUUAAAUAUGAGAAAUCUUAGAUUUUAGUUUCUAGGGUUCAUUUAAAUUUUUUCAUCGUACGAUUUUAGUUUCUAGGGUUUAUAUGGGGUACCUAUUCACUGAACAACUGGAUUAUUGCGGUGUUAUGUUCUUUGAUUUGCAAGAGAAAUGGAAAGAUAGAGUAUGAAUGAAGUUUGAUUGCGUUAUUUAAAUUGGUUAUUUGGGGAAAACCAAUCUGACCUCUUAUUGAAGUUGUUGUAGUUAUUUUCAUUAUUUGUUGUAUGUGGUAAAUGAAAAAUGAAAGAAAAAAAUGGAUAAAAUAACUUAGAAUCUUAAUUUUUUUUUCUAGUUUUUAGUAUUAGUUUAUCAAAUAUGUUAUAUUUUAGAUGUUUUAUGUAAUUUGUAUUAUUUCUUUAGGAUUGCGUUUCCAAUAUUGUGUUAGGGAAUAUUGGACAUCAUUUUUUAAUGCAAACAAAAUCUCAUAUCUUUUUCUACAUUUCAAUUCUUUCGGAUUUAAUAUAUAUUCUUGGGAGCUGUCAGACACCAUAUUGGAUGGCCAGGGGACAUAACAUAUGAAAAAAAUAAACAUAAAUAAAUUAAAUUAUAUUGUAAUAUAUUGUAACGUUAGUGUAUUUGUAUUGUAAAUAUAAUGCAUUUAUGUUGUACCUAGUUUGUAUAAAUUAUAUAUGGUUUAAAAGGUUAGCCAUGAUGAGCAUUAACAAUGUGUACAUAUUGGAUUACCAUCAAACAACUUAAAUUUGUUAUCCAUUAAUACAAUGGCUCAGUGUGUUUUCAGUAGCAUGUAUGUAACUAUAUUUGGGAUCACUAAUAGUAGGUAAACCAAAAUAAAUAAGGGUACAAUACAAAUGCCCUACAUUUACAAUACAAUUACACUAGAAGUACAACAUAUUACAACAUUACUUGAUUCAUUAUACAUUUAAUUAUGACAAUUGAUUAUUUGAUAUAAAUUUUAUAGUGCAGUGUGGAGUAUAAUACAUGGAUAAAAGGCAAAAAACAAUACAAUACAACUAGUUUUUUGGAAGACUAUAUUCUCUCUUUUGCCAUUUUUUUGUAUGUCCAAGCUUGCUUAUAACUCAAUGAAACACCAUACCGACUCCUGAAAUCUUUGCAAAUUUGACGGGGCAAAUACUGAGGGGUUGCCCUUAUUACUUGCUCUAUGACAUGAGCACCUCUUCUUCCCCGCAUUGAAGGUUGGCUUGAACACUCAACAUCUGCACAAUGAUUGUGUACAUCAAUGAAGAUGUUAACCUUCAAAAUUUUGGUUGUGCCUUCUGAAUUAGUAGUUAUUUUCCAAGGGCACCCAUCAACUAAACAACACACAAAUAUUCUCUUUGGAGAGUUCUUUUUGAAUUUGUAUUGAAAUCUACCAACUAAUGACAUAGUAUAUAAUGCAUUUCUAAAUUCAUCUGCAUUAGAAAAACUAUGCCCACUCCCAAUAAUAGGUUGAGGACAAAGACUUAAAUCAUGUGGCCUAACUUCAGUUUCUGCACAUCUGGACAUGAAGCCUUGAGAAAGUCCUAAAUUAGACUCAUUGUUUGCUUGACAUGAUGCAACUGAAUUGUGUGUCUCCUUCGUACUAUUAUGACUGCAUUUUAUAGCACACUCAGUUAAUUAAUAUUAUAAGCACCUUGCAUCAUGGAAUUAAUGACAACUAAUACAAGAUAUAUCACUUACCAAUAAUCAUUUUGCACAUUGACUAUACCUCCUUCAACUUCUACUCUUCGAGUCCGUUUUAAUACAUAAAUACGAGCAUAAUAAUAACUAUGGGAUAACACCAUAUGCAUGUCCUCAUCAUCAUCCAACUGUUGAAGUGCAAAUGGAUCAAACUCAAGGGUGUAAUGAAAUGUAUAUCCAUUUGAAUUAAUAUCCAACCGUUCACAUGCCUUUGAAACAAAAUCAACAUAUGACAUCCCUUGUCCAAUGUACAUGCCUUUUUGUUGCCCACCCUUGUAUUGUAUUUGUUUGUCCUUCUUAGGUACAAUCUCCUCUCCUUCAUGAAGGUAGCCAUAAAUGGAAUUUUCCAAGUCCAUUUACCAAUUUAGAAGUACGUCUUCUUUCAUUGACAAUCAAAUCAAUCCAUUUCACAAUAUUACAACCAAGGAAAAUUUUACAACAAAUACAAAAUAAACAAAUGAAAAUUAUAAUCAAUUGAGACAUAUUUUAUAUAAUAAAGAAAAAUAUUUGUUGUAUAUUAGACAUGUUAGGGGUAUGCUAAAGAACCCACAAUUGCCCAAUUUCAUAAGAACUUUGAAAAUUUCAAAAUUUUACCUUAUCGUAAUGUAUCGUAAUGUUAUUGUAUUUGUAUUGUAAUUGUAGUGCAUUUUUAUUAUACCUCUAUAUUUUUAUAUAUAAAAAAAAUUAAUUUUAUAGAUUUUUUUUUAUCCAUCAUUGGAUUAUCAUCAACAAUUUCAUGUAUUGAAAUUACAAUAGUGUAUUUUUGUUGUCUUUUUAUAAUUUUGGCUUGCAAGGAUGCUUUAUGAUAGGAAUACAACAUGAUAGCCUAGAAAUGCCAGUUUAGUAAAAAACAAUUCAAUAUUUUGUCAUUUUGGUAUAUUGUAAUGUAUCGUAAUAUUAAUGUUUUUUCAUUGUAACUAUAUUGCAUUUGUAUUGUACUUAUACUUUAUAACUGAAGUAAUGGUUCUUUUACAUAACCUUUAAACUACUAGGCAUUCAACUCAUCAUACCAAAAUAAUACUUAUACAAAAAAGUAACAAAUUCAUAACAAAAAUAUAGUGAUCUUAACUCUUUAAUAAAUUCAUAAAAAAAGACAAAGUGGUCUCAUACAAAGGGGAUUUCAAUUUUCAAUGAAAAUCCAAAUAUGUUCAUAAAUACACAAACAAAGUGGUCCCAAACAAGCAUGAAACAACUGAGAACAUUUUUUCUUCAACCAUGUAAAAAAGUCUUAACAACAAAACUAAAGUGCAAACCUUUUUGAAUGGAAAUCAAUAAUAAGCAUAUCAAACAGCCCACCCGAAAAAUAAAUUAAAAAUAAAAACACAUCUUCAAUAUGACCAAAAUAAUAUAAAAAAAUUCAAAAUAAUAAAUUUAAAUAACAUUUUACACAAAAAUGUAAUUUCUUUCUCAAAACCUCCUUCAAUAUUUCAAAUCUAAUAUCUUACAUCUACAUUGUUAACAUUAUUAACUUUUUGUUCCUUCAAUCCGAUUUUUAAAUUAUUUAUUUAUUUAUUCCAUAAACUAAAGUUUUUUUUUUUGUAUUUAAAAAAAAACUUACUUUUAAUGUAUUUCUUGCUAGAUUCACACAAAAAAACAAGCUUUGUGUAAACGGUUUUAGAUUAUGACCUGAAGUGUUGAACCUUUUUCCUUUUUCCCUUUUGUCUUCUACAACACGGAUAAACUGCAGGUAGGUUAAAGAAAACUCUUUUUUCUUUGUUGUUGCUUUUCACUCUGCUAUUACUUUUCACUUAUUAAGGGUAGUCUUGACAUUUAAACAAAAUAAGAUCUUUGGAGGAAUUAUCAUAAUUUCACACUACUCUUCAUAAUAAUUAUCAAAUUUACCCACCCUCAUCGGUCAUAUUUUCCCCCAACCUACCCUUAAUGGUAAUUUUCCCUUUUAUAAUCGCUAUCAAAUACACACAUAUCUUAUAUGUUUUUUUGGAUAUUUGGUUGACACUUCCUAUGACCACUUUUAAAGACCCUCGUAUCCUACUUGGUUUUUUUACAUAUUUGGUCCCACCCUCUCUGUAUGUUCCCCGAAGCUUCCCACUUUCUCUAAAAAGAUUUCUCCUUAAACUCAAGUGGAACCAUGUCAUAUAUGAUUUGGCUUUCCUAUUUGGCUUUCCUUGCUCUGCAAGUAAAUCAAAUCCACCUCCAUUUCAUAUUUCAAAUCUGCACUAUAAAUAGGGAAGCAUCGAACCCUAAUGUUUCAUCAAGUAUCUCAAGCUUCCUCUCAUUUCUAGUUUUCUCUCAGGCGAAAGAAGGGUGAGAAAUGGUGGUCUCAGUCAUACUAGAUUGCGUUGUUCCAUCAUCUUCCUCAUCCCGGGUCGUCGACUAUGCUGGCGGCUGGCCUUCCAUGGAGAAACCUAAAAGCAAGUCAUCAAAAUCUUCAAGUGCUCCAAUCCUGGUCUUUCACUUCCCUGUUAACUCCUACCGCUCUCGCCUGUAGUGGUUGAGUUAAUUGCUUGAGGAGUGAGAUGGAGUUUUGUUUUCAUUUACAGUUUGAUGAGUGAUUUGCAAUAACUUCAUACAAGAAUAUUGUAUGCAAUGAAAGAGCUAUUUUUGAUUGAUUUGUUUUUUCUUAAGAUUUCUCCUAUAUCUUGUUCUCAGAUCCCUUUACCUUGUUUACCUCCUUUCCUGAAGUUCAGAUUUUCUUCAUCCAACACACUGAUAAGUGGCUCUGAGCCUGCCUAAUGACCUCGAAGAUCAAUGGGUUCUUCAUUUACUUUUCUUUUCGUCUAUGAGCAAUGAACUAGAGAUCAGUGAAUGAAAGAAAAAAAGGAAAUGUCAUAGAAAGUAUGCAACAUUGCAGAAGAAAAGAAGAUGAAGCUGUAAAUAUAUACGUAUAUUGACCAGUUGAUGACAAUUUGAUCCAUUGAUGAUUUAAUUUAAACCUUACCAGAGCGAUCAAUUGAACUGCUAUUAACUAUUUGAUUGAGAAAAACCAAGGGCAUGUUUCCCAAUGUGGAUCCUAUCAGUUAGGUUAGUUGGUCAUUGCGUGGUAAUAAAUAUCAGUAACGAAAUGUGAGACAUUACAGAGAAUUGCUAAAGAUUAGUGAAAAAUCUUUAAUUCUUGGUGACUAAGAAAAACUUAGAUUAAUGUUGCUAGAAGUAUUGGAGGUCAUAGAAGUAAGUCAAAGUUCUCAAGGAACUCAUGAGGAUGACUUCCUCCGAGUAGGGUCAAAGCAGCCACAAGGGUAGGAAGCAGGAGGCCAGGAACCAUCCAAGCAAUACUAUAAAUUGGGAACAUGGGCAUAUAUCAUUUGGCUUUUCUUGCUAUAUAUACAAGAAAAUUAACCACCCCAAUCCCACUAUAAACACAGAAUCAUCUUCACUCAAAUUUCAUCACCAACCUUCUGGAUCAUAAUUUUCUCGGACAAGGAAGAGCAGAAACCAAGUCAAUUACAAUGGUGUUUUCAGCCAUCUUGAGUUGUUUUUGGCUUAGUGAAGAGGUGAAAUCUAACAGCAAAUCAUCAAAACCUUCACAAGCUCCAAUACUGGUUUCUUACUUCCCUGUCAGCCUUCCUCUCUCGCUUGUAGUACUUUAAUUACGAAGGAGAGAUCACCUGCUGAAUCAUAAAGGCAGAAAUGGUUUAUUCAUCUGUUAUAUUGAUCAACUCAUGGGGUUUUUUAAUGUAUAAAUUCAUUAAUUCACGAUUGAUUUGUAAAUUAAUUUGAUUGAAGCACACAUAUUAUAUAAGAUUAUUGUUUCUUGAUGAUAAUUAAGCUAAUCAUCAUAUAUACCUUUCCUAAUUAUAGAAAAACCAGGGCUUGUUUGGAAACGGUUGUGAAAAAUAAUUUUUGAGAACAAGUUUUACAAAUUGUUUUAUAAUAUUUUGUAGAAAAAAAAGUUUAUUUAAAAACUUGAAAUGUUUUUAAUAUUUUCAAAAUAAUUUUUAUAAUUAUUUUUUAAAAUAACUCUAAAAAAUAUAAGUGAAAACAAUUAAAAACUGUUUUAUAAAAACACCAUAUUUUCUAAUUUGUCAAACAUAUUUUCUAGUUUUUUGUUUCUGAAAAACAGAAAAUUAUUCUCCAAAAGAAUUGCUAAACAAACUCUAGACUACUUCAAUCCUCAUUUGUAAUUAUCUUGAUUAAUAAUAUUGUUGUGUUCCUUCGGCUAUUACCAAUUGGCAACACUUGACCCAACAUUUGAUAUUAGAGUUCUAAUUAAUAUAUAAUUAAAAUUUUCUAAUUAUGUGUAAUUUAAUGAUGGGAUAUUAUUGAACAGCAUCAUAAAAAAAAUUUAAUAUUAACUAGAUUUAUCACUUAAAAUAUUGAUAACAUUAUUUUUUUUUUAUAUAUAUUUCAUCUAUGUCAUUUACCUUGAUGCCGUGAUGAAUACUUCUACUAUUACUUAAGUUGAUAAAGUCAAAAAAUAUUGUUAUGUACUGAGAGUGACUUUCUUCCUCCAUGGUCAAAGCUGGCACAUGCCAUAGGAAGUGGAAGCUCACGAGCAACAUGGGUACUUAUCAUUUGACUAAGAUAAAAUUAAUUAGGAUAAAUAUUAAUAAAAUUAAAAAAAACAGGUAAAUAUUUUAAUUUGAUAAUUAAAAAAUAAAUUAAUUUUAUCGAAUAAUAAAAAUCAAAUAAUAAGUUUUAAGUUUACAAUUUAAGAAUAAUUUAAUUUAAAAUUAAUUAAGUUAUUAAAUAUAAGUAUUAAAUUUUACCAAAAUGUCAUUUUCACCUCGUCUUGAUGAAGCCAUUAAGUAUUUAACAUUAGUCAUUGAAUUCUUUUUGGAUCAUUUUGAAACCCAAUGAUGUUGGAGAAAUGUUGAUGAUUUAUUGUUUGGUAUGUUUUAAGGUUAAAUAUUUAGGGUUCAAGGUUUAAAAUUACUAUUUAGGGUUUCAUUAUCUUUUAAUUCAACAACACUUGUAUUAUCAAAUAUUUGAAUACUUAAAGCUUCUAUUAUUCAUCAGUCUUUGAAAAUGAUGUGUAUUUAUUGUAGAGGCCACAACAAAAGCAGUAAUACUGAAUACUUCCUACUAUCCUGACCAGUUCUUAAAGUCCAAAUGAAAUGAAAAUCUUGUGACACUGAAAGUGACUUUCUUCCGAAAUAGUCAGAGCAGCCACAACUGAUGGAAAUUCAAAGGAUCCAACUCACAAUUUUCACAAGAAACAUGGUCAGUUGGACUUCAAUUGCUUUAUAUUCAAGAUAUUAAGUGAUUUUAGCACCGAGUAAAUAUCGGAUUGCCCUCAAGUAGGAUGUCUUAUUUUUCCAAAAUAUAAAUAAAUCCCCUUAAUUAGGAAGAAAGCUUGAGAAUCACAUCUAAUGAUAAGCAUUAUCCUAACAUAUUUAUUUAGUCUUCUCAAGGAGACUUAGUUAAUAUAUAUGUUUUUCUUCAUUGGUUUGGUCCCACCCUCUAUUUGUUUGUUCCCUAGAGCUGGUUAGACUAGUCAAAAUUUGAAAGGUGGUGUAAUUUGACACGACUUUUCUUCAAAGACAUGGACACCACAGCACCAAAGUUUAGUUGUUGGGUCUUUUUCUAUAGUCGGAUUAAGCCACUUGCUGCCACGAGUCUCACAGGAAGGUCCAGGGAAUUGACCCAUCUCAUAUAUUUAUCAUUUAUCUUUCCUUGCUAUGCAAGUAAAUCAACCCUACUUCCAUUUCAAAUCUGCUGUAUAAAUAAAGAAGCAUCUUAGCCUAAUAUUUCAUCAAAUAUCAGACACUUUCUCUCAUUUCUAGUUUUCUCUGCAGGCAAAUUAAGAAGGUUAAAAAUGGUGUUCUCGGCCAUACUAAGUUGCUUUGUUCCAUCUUCUUCCUCGACCCGAGUCUUCAAUGAUGCUGGUGGGUCUAGUUUGAAGGAACCUAAGAGCAAGUCAUCGAAAUCUUCAUCAAGAGCUCCGAUCCCGGUCUCUUACUUCCCUGUUAACUCCUACCUCUCUCGCUUGUAGUGAUUAAUUUGAUCGCAAGUUGGAGUUAGACUUUGAAGAGUACCAAUGGAUUAUUGAUUCAGUUUAUGUAUUAUAUGAUGGGGUUCCUCAUCAUGCAGUUGCUUGAGGAGUGAUGAUGGAGUUUGUUUUAAUGUACAGUUUGAUGAUUAAUUUGCAAUAAUUAGAUUCAAGAAUAUUGUUAAUUUCCUCCAACUGCAUGCAAUGAAACAACUCUUUUUAAUAUAAAGUUGGGUAUGAUGAUACCAUGAAAUUACCUGCAACCAAAUAAGACAUUAACCCCAACUGAACUUCCUUGUUGUUUCUCAAUUUGAUCAGUAAAGGAGGAAGUCUUAAAAAAGCCAAUGGAAAAUGACCCCACCAUUUUAGAGAAACACUAGGUGAAAUUUGAUCCACAGAAUCUUCUAUACAUAUUUUAAAGUUGUGAGUGUCUCUUAAACCUAUAAUGGACAAUAUCUAUGUGAGAGAUGACAAGUUAUUAUAAAUAAUAUUAGAGUUAAUUCUUUAUCCGUGAAAGUUUGUUUGACCUUGUAAAUGGUUUUUAUCUUUUUGUUAUCAUAAUUCUAUGCAUUACAAUGAGGACGUUGCGUCUUUCUGAAGGCCACGCUAUAUAUGUAUUGAUUUUUCUUCAUUUUAUAAGCAUUCUGAAGGCCACGCUAUAUAUGUAUUGAUUUUUCUUCAUUUUAUAAGCAUUUUUUAAAGUCAUGAGUGUUUAUGAGGCACAAAACGGAUCACUACAAAUAUUUAUAUAGAUUUGCAUUUAAAUCCAAUAAAAUAUUAAAGAAAAGACUAAAACGGAACUUCGGUAUUGUAACUACUUAUGACCUAGUAGUAAACCUGAUUUUAAUAUAUCAUAUUAGAUUAUUUAUUUUUUAAAUACAUAAAUUGUUAGGUAAUAGAUCAACGAUAUAUACUAGACCGUUAACAUUAUCUAUAUAUUUAUCUUUGAAUUGAGCAGCAACAGCGAUUGACAUGCUUGUUGGUGGGACCUAAUUCAACAAUGAAUUGUAUUAUCACAUAUUUUAAUACUUAAAGUUUCUAUAAUUAAUUAGUCUUUGAAAAUGAUACAUAUUUAUUGUAGAGGCUACAACAAAAGCCUCUACAAUUAUUUUUAAGAGAAAUUAUUUAAGGGAUUUUUUGUAAUAAGAACAUGAAAUAAUAAUUUAUUUUUUUUCAUAUGUUAUAUUCUAACAAAAAAAAGUCCUUUAUUUUUUCAAAAAAGCGUCUAUUUCAUAAAUUAAUAUUAGUGAUUUUCUAGAUUUUUAAAAAUUUACUAAGCACAAUAUUAAAAACUUUUGUAUUCUAGGGAAGUCAUGAGACUUGGUCAAGAUAUGGAAUAUGGGAUGACGUUAAGCCUGAGAAAGAAAAUAUAAUUUCCCGGAAUAAGUAAAAGUAGGAUGUCUAAGGAAGAAAGCAUGAGAAUCACAUUGGAUGAUUAGUUUUAUCCUAUCAUAUUUAUUUAAUCUUAUUCCAAAGGAGACUUUAACUAAUAUGUUUUAAUUUUCUUCAUUGUUUUGGUCCCACCCUCUAUUUGUUUGUUACCUAGACCUUCCCAUUUUUGCUAGAAGGUUUUCUUCUUCUGGGUCAGACUAAUCAAAAUUUCAAAAGUUUAGUUGUUGGGUCUUUUUCUAUAGUCAGAUCAAGGUAGCAGCAGCUGCCACGAUUGUCACAGGAAGCUCAAGGGAAUCAACCAUCUCAUAUAUUUAUCGUUUAGCUUUCCUUGAUAUGCAAGUAAACCAACCCUACUACCAUUUCAGAUCUGCAUUAUAAAUAGAGAAGCAUAUGUUAGCCUAAUAUUUCAUCAAAUAUCACACACUUCCUCUCUUUUCUAGUUUUCUCUGCAGGCAAAUCAAGAAGGGUUAAAAAUGGUGUUCUCAGCCAUACUAAGUUGCUUUGUUCCAUCAUCUUCCUCGUCCCGAGUCUACAAUGAUGCUGGUGGGUCUAGUGUGAAGGGCCCUAAGAGCAAGUCAUCGAAAUCUUCAUCAAGAGCUCCGAUUCCGGUCUCUUACUUCCCCGUUAACUCCUACAUCUCUCGCAUGUAGUGAUUAAUUAAUUUCACUGCAAGGUGGAGUUAGAAUUUGAAGAGUAUGAAUGGAUCAUUGAUUCAGUCUAGGUAUCAUAUGAUGGGGUUCUUCAUCAUGCAGUCGCUCAAGGAGUGAUGACGGAGUUGGUUUUCAUGUACAGUUUGAUGAUUGAUUUGCAAUAAGUUGAUCGAAGAAUACUGUAUUAGAUCUUCAUCUUGUUAAUUUCCUCCAACUGCAUGCAAUAAACAGUUCUUUUUAAUAGAAAGUUGGGUACGAUGAUACCAUGAAAUUACCUGCAACCAAAUAAGACAUCAGCCCCUACUAUGAAAAUUGAGAAACAACAAAAGAGUUCACUUGGGGUUUCCAUUGGAAAGAAUCGGUACUUGAAAUAUUGGCAAUCAGUGAUUACCAUAUGUAUAACUGCUAAGUAAACCCUAGAAUCAGUUAGGGUUUAUCAUCAUCGAAGACAAAGGUUGUUCGAAUCAUAUAUUAAGCAAAAACUACUUACAUUAUACAGAUGAUGAUCAGUAAGGGAAGAAGUCUUAAAAAAGCCAAAGGAAACUGAACCUACGAUUUUGGAGAAAUUAGGGUGUAAUUUGAUCCACAAGGUGAUGACUGAUGACUAGAUAUGCAUGGUGGGAUUUGCCCCAGCGGUCCAUGAUGAUAGAAGGCUAUUAUCCUUUUACACAAGCACUAAAAGAAAAAGGAUAAAUUAAGUCGCCUUGCUUUGUCCUUUCAUCCGCCCAAAAUUCUUGCAAUAUGCACCUCAAAUCAAACCUAAGAGUAUCAAUCACUCUCUUUCUCUCCAUCCAUUAAAAAGUAUUAAUUUCAAACUUGUGAUAUCUCACAUGUUGGAAGUAGAUUUGUAUAGGUUUUUUAAUUUUGUAGAUGUACUUUAAAGUUGUGAGUGUCUAUUAGACUCACAAGGAAUAAUAUCUAAAUGAGAAAUAGCAAGUCAUUACAAAUGAUAUUAAAGUUGAUCAUCGAUCUUAAUAUGAGAGUUUAUUUGACCCUGCAAGAGAUCUUUUUAUUUCUAUGAUCUUAUGAGAUACAACGAGAACGUUAUGCACUUAUAUGAGGGUGUAUUAUAUAUGUAAUGAUUCUUCUUCAUCUUAUAAAUAACUUUUAAAGUUGUGAGUGCGUAUGAGACCCAAAACGGAUCAGUACAAAUAUUUAUAUAAACUUAUAUUUAAAUCCAUUAAAAUAUUAUUUGUUAUAUUAAAAUAAAUUGUUGUUUUUUAAAUGAAUUGGAAAUAUUUUGAAGUGUUUGUUCAUAAAGAAUUUUGAUAAAUAAUUGAAGAUAUGAAGAUUAAUUGUAGGGGACUCGUGACACGUAUUCAACAUAUCAAAUAUAAUUACUGAAUAAACAGCCAAAAAAAUAAAUGUAAAAAAUAAAAAAAAUACCAGGGCACCAGCUGAGAGAUGUGGAAGGGUCUUUAUCGGCCAAGAAGAGGAUGAGAUUGGCCUUGUUCUUCGGCGCUUCUGAUCUGAACUUCUCCAGCACGCCGUCGAACGUCGACACAGUGGCGUCCACCAUUUUCAGCGGCGUAUUCGCUUUUUCUCAGGGGUAUUUUGGGAAAUCUAGACAAUAUCAUUGCUUGACAACAAUGGCAUUCGUCUGUGCUCCUUUUACAGGUUUUAAGCUAAAAUUUGCCCACCCACAGGUGGUGAAAUUCCUGAUAUGCCCUUCAUAUUGGAGUCACCAAAAUCUCCAUGACAUAGUAUAUCACAUUUAUGUCAAAUUUGGAGCCAAUGAUAUAUUUUGUGGUUUUAAAGUUCAUUAUAUACUUAGAAAGGCUUAGAAUACAAAUUUGAUAAGGUCAAACAAUGAUAUUUUUCUAAAAAUUUUUGUCCUACGAGGUGGGCACACAUACCUAGAAAAGCCUAAAUCCUUGACAUUAUGCAAUCUUACUUUACAAGAUGGUAGCAAAUAAUUAAUUAUUUUUCAAACACCGUAUCCCCUUAAAUAUUAUAGUUGGUUCAAUAAGUGGUAGAGUCAGGAUUUCAAUUAGGGGACUAACUCUUAAGACAUAUGUAAAUUUUGCUGAUCAUAAAAGAUGUGGGCUUUGACCCAAUAACCCAUCCUUGGCAUUUUCUAAGGGGGGGCAUAAGUUGGUUUGGGGUGGGAAGUGGAGAUGGCUGGUUUCACCCUUGGGUUCAGUCAUUGUAUUGAUUGAUCCAAUGAAGAAUAAUAUUUAGUAUUGACAUUUGCCUUCAUAAAUGAGCUUAAUAGUAUUAUCUUGGUGAGUGCAAUCCAAUAAUUAACUUGAUAUGUGUUUUUCAUAAAAUUUUAUGUAUCUUUUUAUAUUUGCCCUUUACUACCAAAUGUCAUUGUUCAUUUUGAAUUUUUUUCUUCUAUAAUGAAUAAAUACUUUUAAUUUAAUAUAAAAUUAUAAUUAAUCAUAUCAUUUUUUAGAACAUGUAGUAAUAGUAAAUAUGUGUUAACGUCUUUGAAUCCGGGACUCGCUUUCUAUGAUAAAAAGAAUAUACCAUUAACAUUAUGAAAUGAUUUUUGAAACUCCCACCAAUCAACAUUAAUUAGUUAGUCCUUUUUAGUUAGAGAGUUAAUUUUACUAAGACCCCUAGGGUGUAAAUACGUACACAUAACCAUUAUUAAUUUUAAAUUUUGUCACUAAGUGUCUUUGUAAAUUUAUUUUGUUUAUACAAUUUAUUUUUUAAAGAGAUUUUAAGGAAGUGUAAUUAAUAAUUUUUUGAAAAAUAAGUUUUAUUCUUAAAUUUUUUUUAUAUAUGAAAUACAUUUAUAGAAGUGCUAAUUGAUAGAAUUUGAAACUAAUGAUGGUUUAAUGUAUUUAUACUGAACCUUGGGAUGUGAAUGAAACUAGCCCUUAGCGAAAUAGGGUUGAGGAGUUAAACAUGCAUGGGUUGAUUGUAUUAAGGAUGAAAAGUACUAUUAAGUUCUUGGAGACCAAGCAAAACUUGGUUAAUACUCCUAGAAUCAUCAGGUGGUCGGACUAGAAGUCAAAAGUUUUGGAGGAAUUGAAAACGACUUCCUCAAACUACAGACACAAGUGUGGGAAACAGGAAGGAAUUAAUUAACCAUCUAAGCUGGGGAGAUGGGGACACAACAUUUGAAUUUCCUUGCUAUACAAGAAAAUUAGUCCAACUUCACAGUAUAACACAUCAUCAUCUUCAUUCAAAUGUCAUCACUACUCACACUUCAGCUAGCUAGCUCUUGGCUUCUCAAACACUCACUUCCCUUAACUUCUGAAUAGAAAAAUUAAGGAGAAUUAAGGGUGAUUCAACAAUGGUGCUCUCAGCCAUUCUAAGUUGUUGUCUGCCAUCAUCAUCGUCGACUCUGCCUCGGGUGUCCGAUGAUGGUGGUGGGUCAAGAUGUGACAUUAGGCAAUCUUACCUUGCAAGAUUGUGGUUAGAUUGUAGAAUAAGCUAGCUAAUUUACUAUUUAUCAAACACUUUUUUCCCUAUAAAUUGAACUUUUUAAGUUAACUUAAGCCCCAUCUAAAGUUAUUAUAGCUACUAAUUAGCAAUCACAUCUCCCUUUCUAAUGGGAUUCUUAUCAACCAUUUUCAGGUGUUUGAUGUCUUGUUUUUCAAGCAAUGAAGCAAGAAAAUCUCCAGAGAAGCCUAAGAGAAAAUCAAAGUCAUCUAGGGCUCCCAUUGUGGUCUCUUCCUUCCCUGUCAACUCAAAUCUUUCUUGCUUAUAGCAUGCUGAAAUUUGAAAUGUAGUUGGUUCAAUCAUGGUAUGGACUGAUCUAUAAUUAAUGGCAAUGAAGCCAUGGUAUUGAUAGUUGCCUUUGCAAAUGAGCUUAAUGUUCUUAUAUAUCUUGGUGAGUAUAAUUCUAACUAUUUGAUCUGUCUUUUGAAUAUGAUUUAUGGUAUUUUACCCUACUGCAUGCCUUUGCUUUGGUUACCUCCUUGUGUGAACUGCCCAAUGGUCAUAAAGAUUAAUGAGUUUAAGCCUUGUUACGUUUACCCAUGCACAAAUUUGUAAUGUCAUUCACUUUGAAUUAAUUUCUUGGUGUAGACGUAUGAAACAAAAACUCUUUAUAUGAUACAAAAUUAUAGCUCUUAUCAUUUUUAAGACACGAUGAUGGAGGACGACAUCAUUCACUGCUUGAAGACCAAGCAAAACUUGGGGAAUACUCCUAGAAUUAUCAGGCGCCACACAAGUCAAAAAGUUAUGAAGGAAUAUUGAAAAUGGCUUCCUCAAUCUAGAGUCAAAGCAGCCACUAGUGUAGGAAACAGGAAGGAAUUUACCAUCUAAACAAUAUCACAAGCUGGGAAGAUGGGCACAUACCAUCUGGCUUUCCUUGCUAUGCAAGAAAAUGAGCCCAACUUCCAUUUCAAAUUAAACUUCCACUAUAAAUAUGUAGAAUCGUCUUCAUUCAAAGCUCAUUAAUACAAACUCACACUUCAGCUCUUGGCCUCUCAAACCACUUUGUUUAAUUUCUGAAAGCAGAAGGAGAAGGGUGAUUGAUCAACAAUGGUGUUCUCAGCCAUCAUAAGUUGUUUUCUGCCAUCAUCAUCGUCAUCUCGGGUGUCUGAUGAUGCUGGUGGGUCAGGCUCAAAGGUGCCUUCCAUGGGGAAAGACAAGAUGAGCAAAUCAAAUUCUUCAGGAGCUCCAAUAGUUCUUUCUUACUUUCCAUUGAACUCCUAUCUCUCUCGCUUGUAGUUGUACUACUAAUUGCAUUCUGAGGAAAGGGGAGUUGAAUUUGCAGAAGGUAUCAAUGGUUAAUUUCUUCAGCUCAAUGAUGUUAUGUGGAUCAGUUAAUUAAUGGGGCUUCUUGAUCAGUCAGUUCAGAGACCACACACCAUGGGGCAGUUGCUUAUGGGGUGGUGAUGUUGAAGGAAGAACAGCACUCAUGUACAUAUAGUUUGAUGAUUGAUUUGUAGUUUGAUUGAAGCAUAUCAUGUAAGAUCAUGGGUCCUUUAUUUUUAUUAGUAAUAUCCUGAUGAAUAAAAUUCAAGUGUAAUCCAAUUGUUUGAUUUGUGUUUUGGUAAGAGUUCUUAUUUCAUGUUAAUCCAUAUCCAAAUUCUUGUGCUUAA